UUACAAGGUUGAGCAGAUAUGUCA
RNAcentral lists this non-coding RNA (24 nucleotides) under Rattus norvegicus (Norway rat). The record is from RNAcentral. Lineage: Eukaryota; Metazoa; Chordata; Mammalia; Rodentia; Muridae.